Long non-coding RNA from Spinacia oleracea (spinach), 1613 nucleotides. RefSeq lists it as uncharacterized. NCBI's taxonomy places the organism in Eukaryota, Viridiplantae, Streptophyta, Magnoliopsida, Caryophyllales, Amaranthaceae. The record is from RefSeq and is a predicted model, not a curated record. The transcript is spliced from 8 exons.
CCCAACUCUCUCAUCUUUUCAAGCUCCUCUUCCCCUUUCACUGUUCUUUUGCUUCCAUCUUCUUAGUAGUGACAAAGAUAUUACUUCCCCUCUCUGUCCCCUUUAGGGCGCGAAAACCCCAAAUUAAUAUUUGCAGAGUUGCAGCUGCGAAAUGGAGGUGACGAACCUCAGCAAACAAUUGAUUUCACUUGCAGUCCAAAGAUGUCGAUUAUCAGGAGAUCCCUGGAGAAUUUCCGUCUUCCUCCGACAAAUCACGGUUUCCGAUUCCGUCUUCACUCAAAUCUCAAUUUUCUUCUCCAUCUCGGAGUUCGAUUUGGCCGCACUCGCUUCCAAUCUUGACCGGACGGAGCGGCAGAUGAUGACGCAAAAUAGCUUUGUUGCGGCCUUGCGGGUGAUUUUGGUUCUACAGAGUCCCACAAUGUCUAAUUAGGUGGCGAUUUUAGCAUCCAGGAUGAUGGAACGAUCGUGUUUUUGUUUUGGGAGCACGAGGUGCUACUGGUCUAGAACUUACGGUUGGGAGUAAGAUUUUGAGGUGUCAGGACGAUCCUUCUGCGGGUAACAUUGGACUAUCUCCAAGGUCUCAAGGUUGGGAAUUUCUUGAUCAUAAAAGAAGGAAAAAUAAGAUACAGUGACUUCAUCGACAAGGAGUUGAAAUUCCAUACAUUUGUUGAUGGGCUAUAAAGCCCACCUAGAGAAAAGUUCUCUUCUCUGCUUUUAAGAAGAACUUGACCAAAGAGAUCAGAGUUUCUCAGUUCAACGAUUAUGUGUCCAAGAAAUCAGCUAACCAUCAUGGUGAAGCUAGCAUACAGAGUACAAUUGUUGAUAUGGCACAGAGUAUCGUGGGUGAAAAUAACCUUAAUCUUCUCAUGCCAAAUGGACAGUUUGGUAUAUGUAAUCUGGGAGGAGAGGAUGCUGCCAUUGUCAGAUAGAUGUACACAAGGCUGACUGAAAUCACCAGGGAAUUGCCAGGAAAGACACUGGAAUCACUUCACAUUUAGUGGAACUAUUGAGGUAGUGGAUGAAGACAGUGCAAAUGAUGCAAGUGAAGGUGGCGAUGUAACUCUCAGAAUCACUGAACUGCCAGUUCGGAAGUGGACUCGAGAUUAUAAGGAAUUUUAAAGAGAGACAGAAAUCAAAUGAUGCAGGGAAGUGGACUCGGGAUUGUAAGAGCAUAGAUGAUUGAUUCAAGAAGAAAAUUUCGGGGAGAGGGACCUCUCAAAUCGCUCUUUCGCUAGGCUGUUAGAUGGUAACAUCCAUUGUUCAAGUUGUUGAGACACUUCUUUGCUUGCAUGCUGUUACUAAAAUUUCCUCCUAGCCCAAGGCAUUGGUGCAAUGGCUUUUAGAUGGCAUGCGUUAGUAACUUGCAAGUCCCUUGAUGGAGGAAGACAUUCGAUUUUGCUGAACUCAUUAUCAAAUUAUUCUGAAUCGAAUUUGCUGGAUGAAAAUGAAAUAGUUAGCCAUUCGCAAUUCGCUUCGGUGUCUUCAUAUAAUAAGAGGCAAUCGUUUGUCAAAUUACUCGGAUGUCAUCUACUUAUUUGAGAAAUACAUGGAGUGUUCUCUCGAGGUAGUACACAGAGGAGUACGAGCAAUAUAUCGAGAAUAUUCUAUCAGAG